UAAAUACUCCUUCCGUCCGGAAAUACUUGUCAUCAAAAUGGAUAAAAGGAGAUGUAUCUAGACGUAUUUUAGUUCUAGAUACAUCCCUUUUCAUCCAUUUUGAUGACAAGUAUUUUCGGCCGGAGGGAGUAUCUU
Molecule: non-coding RNA, 135 nt
Organism: Triticum aestivum (bread wheat)
Lineage: Eukaryota; Viridiplantae; Streptophyta; Magnoliopsida; Poales; Poaceae
Source: Rfam